UAUGGGGGUCUCUGUCACGAG
This 21-nucleotide non-coding RNA is filed under the name Arabidopsis thaliana (thale cress). The record is from RNAcentral. Lineage: Eukaryota; Viridiplantae; Streptophyta; Magnoliopsida; Brassicales; Brassicaceae.